GGGCGAUUAGCUCAGUUGGGAGAGCACCUCCCUUACAAGAAGGGGGCACUGGUUCGAGCCCGGUAUCGCCCACCA
RNAcentral lists this transfer RNA (75 nucleotides) under Photobacterium damselae subsp. piscicida. RNAcentral describes it as "tRNA-Val". It matches the Rfam family "tRNA". Rfam says of the family: Transfer RNA (tRNA) molecules are approximately 80 nucleotides in length. Their secondary structure includes four short double-helical elements and three loops (D, anti-codon, and T loops). The record is from RNAcentral. Lineage: Bacteria; Pseudomonadati; Pseudomonadota; Gammaproteobacteria; Vibrionales; Vibrionaceae.